UACGAAGGGGGCUAGCGUUGUUCGGAAUCAUUGGGCGUAAAGGGCGCGUAGGUGGCGGGACAAGCGUGCGGUGAAAGCCUGGGGCUCAACCCCAGGUCUGCCGUGCGAACUGGUGGACUAGAGCACUGUAGAGGCAGGUGGAAUUCCGGGUGUAGCGGUGGAAUGCGUAGAGAUCCGGAAGAACACCGGUGGCGAAGGCGGCCUGCUGGGCAGUUGCUGACGCUGAGGCGCGACAGCGUGGGGAGCAAACAGG
This 253-nucleotide ribosomal RNA is filed under the name uncultured bacterium. RNAcentral's name for it is "partial 16S ribosomal RNA". It matches the Rfam family "Bacterial small subunit ribosomal RNA", at positions 524 to 776 of the family's 1533-position model. The record is from RNAcentral.